ACAUCCUCUAUCCCAGGACAUUUUAGUAAAUGGAGUUUUGGAGUAGGGAAGCUGGAGUAGAACUUUACUCUGUCCACUCCACGCAUCAAUCUGGUAUUGUAGUACCUUCAGGAACAGUGCACC
RNAcentral lists this small nuclear RNA (123 nucleotides) under Cervus elaphus hippelaphus. The record is from RNAcentral. Lineage: Eukaryota; Metazoa; Chordata; Mammalia; Artiodactyla; Cervidae.